GUUGCCAACGACGACAACUACGCUCUCGCCGCUUAAGGCGUAAGCCCCGAACCCACUUGUGCUCAUGCUCGUCGGUGUAGGGUCAUUAUCAUGAGAUCGCCGAACGCUGCCGCCUGGCGGCUCUAGGUCAAAUCAAUCAGGCUGGUUCCGCGGUGCGCUUCGCCCGCCGUGCUUGUCGCGGAACGAGAUCGAACGGUGAGCUAAGCAUGUAGAUCCGGGCAUUGAGCAUCUUCGGACGGGGGUUCAACUCCCCCCACCUCCACCA
This 265-nucleotide transfer-messenger RNA is filed under the name Rhodanobacter sp. RNAcentral describes it as "partial transfer-messenger RNA". It matches the Rfam family "transfer-messenger RNA", at positions 90 to 374 of the family's 374-position model. Rfam says of the family: Bacterial tmRNA, also known as 10Sa RNA or SsrA, is named for its dual tRNA and mRNA-like properties. Its role is to liberate the mRNA from a stalled ribosome. Lineage: Bacteria; Pseudomonadati; Pseudomonadota; Gammaproteobacteria; Lysobacterales; Rhodanobacteraceae. The record is from RNAcentral.